UGCUGUGUGCCCGUCUGCUGCUGCAAGCCUGUGUGCUGCUGUGUGCCAGCCUGUUCCUGCUCCAGCUGUGGCUCCUGUGGGGGCUCCAAGGGGGGUUGUGGCUCUUGUGGGGGCUCCAAAGGGGGCUGUGGCUCCUGUAGGAGCUCCAAGGGAGGCUGUGGCUCUUGUGGCUGCUCUCAAUGCAGUUGCUGCAAGCCCUGCUGUUGCUCCUCAGGCUGUGGGUCAUCCUGCUGCCAGUCCAGCUGCUGCAAGCCCUGCUGCUCCCAGUCCAGCUGCUGUGUCCCCGUGUGCUGCCAGUGCAAGAUCUGAGGCUCUAGUGGGAAACCUCAGGUAGCUCCUGAAGAUC
Molecule: long non-coding RNA, 346 nt
Organism: Mandrillus leucophaeus (drill)
Lineage: Eukaryota; Metazoa; Chordata; Mammalia; Primates; Cercopithecidae
Exons: 3
Source: RefSeq, a predicted model, not a curated record